RNAcentral lists this ribosomal RNA (2925 nucleotides) under Escherichia coli. Its description in RNAcentral is "23S ribosomal RNA". It matches the Rfam family "Bacterial large subunit ribosomal RNA". RNAcentral also lists the same sequence under 1 other name. Lineage: Bacteria; Pseudomonadati; Pseudomonadota; Gammaproteobacteria; Enterobacterales; Enterobacteriaceae. The record is from RNAcentral.
GGGUUGUGAGGUUAAGCGACUAAGCGUACACGGUGGAUGCCCUGGCAGUCAGAGGCGAUGAAGGACGUGCUAAUCUGCGAUAAGCGUCGGUAAGGUGAUAUGAACCGUUAUAACCGGCGAUUUCCGAAUGGGGAAACCCAGUGUGAUUCGUCACACUAUCAUUAACUGAAUCCAUAGGUUAAUGAGGCGAACCGGGGGAACUGAAACAUCUAAGUACCCCGAGGAAAAGAAAUCAACCGAGAUUCCCCCAGUAGCGGCGAGCGAACGGGGAGGAGCCCAGAGCCUGAAUCAGUGUGUGUGUUAGUGGAAGCGUCUGGAAAGGCGCGCGAUACAGGGUGACAGCCCCGUACACAAAAAUGCACAUGCUGUGAGCUCGAUGAGUAGGGCGGGACACGUGGUAUCCUGUCUGAAUAUGGGGGGACCAUCCUCCAAGGCUAAAUACUCCUGACUGACCGAUAGUGAACCAGUACCGUGAGGGAAAGGCGAAAAGAACCCCGGCGAGGGGAGUGAAAAAGAACCUGAAACCGUGUACGUACAAGCAGUGGGAGCACGCUUAGGCGUGUGACUGCGUACCUUUUGUAUAAUGGGUCAGCGACUUAUAUUCUGUAGCAAGGUUAACCGAAUAGGGGAGCCGAAGGGAAACCGAGUCUUAACUGGGCGUUAAGUUGCAGGGUAUAGACCCGAAACCCGGUGAUCUAGCCAUGGGCAGGUUGAAGGUUGGGUAACACUAACUGGAGGACCGAACCGACUAAUGUUGAAAAAUUAGCGGAUGACUUGUGGCUGGGGGUGAAAGGCCAAUCAAACCGGGAGAUAGCUGGUUCUCCCCGAAAGCUAUUUAGGUAGCGCCUCGUGAAUUCAUCUCCGGGGGUAGAGCACUGUUUCGGCAAGGGGGUCAUCCCGACUUACCAACCCGAUGCAAACUGCGAAUACCGGAGAAUGUUAUCACGGGAGACACACGGCGGGUGCUAACGUCCGUCGUGAAGAGGGAAACAACCCAGACCGCCAGCUAAGGUCCCAAAGUCAUGGUUAAGUGGGAAACGAUGUGGGAAGGCCCAGACAGCCAGGAUGUUGGCUUAGAAGCAGCCAUCAUUUAAAGAAAGCGUAAUAGCUCACUGGUCGAGUCGGCCUGCGCGGAAGAUGUAACGGGGCUAAACCAUGCACCGAAGCUGCGGCAGCGACGCUUAUGCGUUGUUGGGUAGGGGAGCGUUCUGUAAGCCUGUGAAGGUGUGCUGUGAGGCAUGCUGGAGGUAUCAGAAGUGCGAAUGCUGACAUAAGUAACGAUAAAGCGGGUGAAAAGCCCGCUCGCCGGAAGACCAAGGGUUCCUGUCCAACGUUAAUCGGGGCAGGGUGAGUCGACCCCUAAGGCGAGGCCGAAAGGCGUAGUCGAUGGGAAACAGGUUAAUAUUCCUGUACUUGGUGUUACUGCGAAGGGGGGACGGAGAAGGCUAUGUUGGCCGGGCGACGGUUGUCCCGGUUUAAGCGUGUAGGCUGGUUUUCCAGGCAAAUCCGGAAAAUCAAGGCUGAGGCGUGAUGACGAGGCACUACGGUGCUGAAGCAACAAAUGCCCUGCUUCCAGGAAAAGCCUCUAAGCAUCAGGUAACAUCAAAUCGUACCCCAAACCGACACAGGUGGUCAGGUAGAGAAUACCAAGGCGCUUGAGAGAACUCGGGUGAAGGAACUAGGCAAAAUGGUGCCGUAACUUCGGGAGAAGGCACGCUGAUAUGUAGGUGAAGUCCCUCGCGGAUGGAGCUGAAAUCAGUCGAAGAUACCAGCUGGCUGCAACUGUUUAUUAAAAACACAGCACUGUGCAAACACGAAAGUGGACGUAUACGGUGUGACGCCUGCCCGGUGCCGGAAGGUUAAUUGAUGGGGUCAGCGCAAGCGAAGCUCUUGAUCGAAGCCCCGGUAAACGGCGGCCGUAACUAUAACGGUCCUAAGGUAGCGAAAUUCCUUGUCGGGUAAGUUCCGACCUGCACGAAUGGCGUAAUGAUGGCCAGGCUGUCUCCACCCGAGACUCAGUGAAAUUGAACUCGCUGUGAAGAUGCAGUGUACCCGCGGCAAGACGGAAAGACCCCGUGAACCUUUACUAUAGCUUGACACUGAACAUUGAGCCUUGAUGUGUAGGAUAGGUGGGAGGCUUUGAAGUGUGGACGCCAGUCUGCAUGGAGCCGACCUUGAAAUACCACCCUUUAAUGUUUGAUGUUCUAACGUUGACCCGUAAUCCGGGUUGCGGACAGUGUCUGGUGGGUAGUUUGACUGGGGCGGUCUCCUCCUAAAGAGUAACGGAGGAGCACGAAGGUUGGCUAAUCCUGGUCGGACAUCAGGAGGUUAGUGCAAUGGCAUAAGCCAGCUUGACUGCGAGCGUGACGGCGCGAGCAGGUGCGAAAGCAGGUCAUAGUGAUCCGGUGGUUCUGAAUGGAAGGGCCAUCGCUCAACGGAUAAAAGGUACUCCGGGGAUAACAGGCUGAUACCGCCCAAGAGUUCAUAUCGACGGCGGUGUUUGGCACCUCGAUGUCGGCUCAUCACAUCCUGGGGCUGAAGUAGGUCCCAAGGGUAUGGCUGUUCGCCAUUUAAAGUGGUACGCGAGCUGGGUUUAGAACGUCGUGAGACAGUUCGGUCCCUAUCUGCCGUGGGCGCUGGAGAACUGAGGGGGGCUGCUCCUAGUACGAGAGGACCGGAGUGGACGCAUCACUGGUGUUCGGGUUGUCAUGCCAAUGGCACUGCCCGGUAGCUAAAUGCGGAAGAGAUAAGUGCUGAAAGCAUCUAAGCACGAAACUUGCCCCGAGAUGAGUUCUCCCUGACUCCUUGAGAGUCCUGAAGGAACGUUGAAGACGACGACGUUGAUAGGCCGGGUGUGUAAGCGCAGCGAUGCGUUGAGCUAACCGGUACUAAUGAACCGUGAGGCUUAACCUUACAACGCCGAAG